This is a long non-coding RNA of Pan troglodytes (chimpanzee), 691 nucleotides long. RefSeq lists it as uncharacterized. NCBI's taxonomy places the organism in Eukaryota, Metazoa, Chordata, Mammalia, Primates, Hominidae. The record is from RefSeq and is a predicted model, not a curated record. The transcript has 3 exons.
UUGAGAAAGGAAAGCCAAGGACAGAACAGAGCCCUGGGGAGGAGCUCGUGGUGGCCAAGCCGAAGGAGGCAGGGAAUUCCGGUGGCCCAGAGCCCUGGCAGAGGCUGCCACUGCGUUGAGCCUGUCACUUUGUUGAGUUUCGCGGUGUCGCUGUGCUUGGAAAGACAAUUUCCUUUCAGCAGCGCUGAUAUGGACUUUGGAUGAUCUUGCCUGCUUCUUCAUUUCUCUCUUUCUCAUGAAAGCCUUUCUCUUCUCGAGAUGGAGUGUCACAAUGUUGCCAAGGCUGGUCUGGAACUCCUGGGCUCAAGUGAUCCUCCUGCCUGGGCCUCCAAAAGUGUUGGGAUUACAGUGGUUCUUGACUUUGACUUAGCUCUCAGUGAACUGUGAGCCCUGCAGAAAUAUUGAAGUGUGAAGUCAUGGGUCCUGGGGAGAAGAGAGAAGUGGAGAAAAUGGAACUUCUUUGAAGGUUGAGGUUCUGGUGCGACACAUUCCGGGAAGUCAAUGCAAGCAGUUCUUACUCGGGAAAAUGCGAAAACCUCCCAAGGUUUCAACAUGUUGGUUUAGAACUAAACCAACCAAAAUGUUGGUUUAGAACUAAAAAUAUUGGCUUAAAACCAAAAAUGUUUGUUUAGAAUUAAAAAUAAUGGCCACUAUAUUGAAUGCAUGUGUUUUUCAGAUUCCAGUUUAAUUA